Molecule: long non-coding RNA, 605 nt
Filed under: Oryza brachyantha (malo sina)
Lineage: Eukaryota; Viridiplantae; Streptophyta; Magnoliopsida; Poales; Poaceae
Description: long non-coding RNA (OBRA_LNC001206)
Source: RNAcentral
UUCUUCCAGCCUUAAGAACCCUUGUUUUUUUCUUUUUUUUUUGCUUUGGUUACAUGGCUCUUUCUUGUUGAUGUUAUUAAAAGCCAGGUGGUACAUGACCCUGUAGAUGGAUUCAAACUGUUUUCAGAUAUGGUUUUGUUUAUGGAAAUGAAUUGUGAUUGAUCCCUGUAAGUUGAAAUAAUUUGGGCUCAUACUACAUGAUCCGACAGCAUGCAACUCAAUCUCAUAUAAUGGAAAAGAGAAUUGAAGCUUGCAGCUAUAAGUAGAUGCACAUGCCAACGAACCAUUUAUUUUUAUUUAGUUUUGAAGAGAUUUGAGGUCUAUCUAUGGUACCGUGGUCUCUACCCUUCUACUGCAAUCUAACCACCGUUGAUGCCCUAGAAAAAGUUUAGCACCGUUGAGUAACAGACCUGGCUAGGCUGGGCGAAGAACCUGACGAUCUGCUGAAGUACAGAUGCGAGUGGAUUCAGGCUCCGUUCCCCAGUCGGCCUGUGCCUCCGGCAGUUUCGCGGUUGCACAUCUCGGCGGAACCGCAGUCUGCGGAGGAGCAAGGUAUUCGCCUCGCGCAAUAGCGGCCGGCAGCGAGCUGCGGCCUGAGGCUGCGG